GAUUUGAUCACUAAAGUUAUUGACAGUAUUAAAAUCCUUCUGUAUGCUUUUGAAUGAUGUCUAAGUAGCUGUUCCUCAGUGUUCCAUCAUGUGUUGAUACAGGUGAAAUGAAGACAGUAUUUGUGAUGGAGGGAUAUUCUGUCACUCUACACACUGAUACUCAAAAAAGAAUGAACAAUGUAUAAAGUGGAUGUUUGAAGACAAUCUUAUAGCUAACAUCUCUGAAGAACAAACUUCUAGUUUUAGAGACAGACUGGAGCUGGAUAGUCAGACUGGAUCUCUGACCAUGAGGAACACCAGUGUCAAAGACUCUGGACUGUAUGAAAUGAUGCUCAAUAACACAAAACGUUGUAUAAAAAAGAGAAUCACUGUUAUUGUCACACCUGAGCCGAUCAAAUGUCUGUCUCCAGGUGAAACAGCAGGAAUAUGUAUUGGUGUUGGUAUUCUGGUGGCUGCAGUUGUUGCUCUGAUUUGCUGCUGCUGCUGCAAAACCUCUUUACUAAGAGGUUAACCAACAGAGCUCCAAACCAUCAGAGAAGCAGAGCUUGAAGAGAGUCCCUCUUCCCCUAUCCCAGUCAACUUCUUGUUUAAUUUCUGUUGAGCGAAGUGUAUUCUGUGAAUAAGAAGAAGUGGACAUUUAAUUUAUGUGUGAAUUUUAAUUACUAAAACCGUGUAGGGAGAUGGGUGCCAAUUUAUUUGGGUUUUACCCCCUUUCUAAUUUUUUUUUUUUUUUUUUUUUUUUUUACUAUGGGUUUUAAUGGGUUUUACAUUAGUCUGGUAGUAGGUUAAGACAACUUUAAUUUUUCUUUAAUUUGGCUUUCUUUUGUUAGGGAAUUUAUGUUGCUUAAACCCUUUAGGAAGUUUUUGAAUGAUUGUUAUUGUCCUU
Molecule: long non-coding RNA, 886 nt
Organism: Labeo rohita (rohu)
Lineage: Eukaryota; Metazoa; Chordata; Actinopteri; Cypriniformes; Cyprinidae
Exons: 3
Source: RefSeq, a predicted model, not a curated record